CUCCAAUGGUUCCUAGAUUUGUUUUCUAGAUAUAUCUAUACAACUAUUUACAUAAAAUAUUCGAAAAGAGAAAUUUCUGUCCGAAACUGUGGUUUUGCUCUCUAGAAGCUUAUGCUGGCAUGUUGCAUUCUUCGGUGCCUUUCGGCAAUCCGAUGUACUUUCCUGUGUUUUUGCCUGUCAGCAAAAUAUGCUUUCUGUCUGAUAAUCAAUUGUCCUGUUUGUACUAAAGGGCAUCCACUACCUACAAGGAGGUAGGCUAUGGCUGACAAGACUCCGAUUUAUCCACCUUGAACUAUCGAAGAUUGUCUUCACAUUGCAGCAAGUCUUCAAGUGGCGUUCGAUUCGGAUACCCUUUUCAUUUGAUAAAGUAUCGUAUGCAAAGAGGUAUUCUGUGCCUCGAAGAAGUUGAGCUCAUGCCCAAGACCAUAUUUUUCUAAAAUC
This 441-nucleotide long non-coding RNA is filed under the name Olea europaea subsp. europaea. Lineage: Eukaryota; Viridiplantae; Streptophyta; Magnoliopsida; Lamiales; Oleaceae. The record is from RNAcentral.